AAUAUGUUGACAGCUACUCUUAACCUGAUGAUAUCUGUACAUUCAUUCCUAUCUUGUUGCUAUGAUAGUAAAACUUGAAGAAAUUGACAACAGACAUACUUCUUGGGACAGGGGAAGAGGACAAAAUAGUUCAGAUAGUUUUAUUUAGGGAGGGAAAAAAUGCACAAGUCUAUCUUUCAUAAGACUACAACAGACAAGGAUACGUCCAGAAGAGCACAAAUGACUGCAAAGAAAAGAAACAAUGUCAGUUAAGUGUCAAAUUAAGGGUAGAAAGCUAGAUUAACAACUUGAAAUCAUAAUGUAGUGAUAGUAAAUUCCUCUCAGCAAUCAAGCAGUGGAACUGUUAUGUUGGAUACUAUAUCAAAACUAAAAGGUAGUU
This 379-nucleotide unclassified non-coding RNA is filed under the name Hevea brasiliensis (rubber tree). The record is from RNAcentral. Lineage: Eukaryota; Viridiplantae; Streptophyta; Magnoliopsida; Malpighiales; Euphorbiaceae.